This 465-nucleotide ribosomal RNA is filed under the name Vreelandella stevensii. Its description in RNAcentral is "partial 16S ribosomal RNA". It matches the Rfam family "Bacterial small subunit ribosomal RNA", at positions 338 to 795 of the family's 1533-position model. The record is from RNAcentral. Lineage: Bacteria; Pseudomonadati; Pseudomonadota; Gammaproteobacteria; Oceanospirillales; Halomonadaceae.
CCUACGGGCGGCUGCAGUGGGGAAUAUUGGACAAUGGGCGAAAGCCUGAUCCAGCCAUGCCGCGUGUGUGAAGAAGGCCUUCGGGUUGUAAAGCACUUUCAGUGGGGAAGAAAGCCUUGGGGCUAAUACCCUCGAGGAAGGACAUCACCCACAGAAGAAGCACCGGCUAACUCCGUGCCAGCAGCCGCGGUAAUACGGAGGGUGCGAGCGUUAAUCGGAAUUACUGGGCGUAAAGCGCGCGUAGGCGGUCUGAUAAGCCGGUUGUGAAAGCCCCGGGCUCAACCUGGGAACGGCAUCCGGAACUGUCAGGCUAGAGUGCAGGAGAGGAAGGUAGAAGUCCCGGUGUAGCGGUGUAAUGCGUAGAGAUCGGGAGGAAUACCAGUGGCGAAGGCGGCCUUCUGGACUGACACUGACGCUGAGGUGCGAAAGCGUGGGUAGCAAACAGGAUUAGAUACCCCAGUAGUC